Small nucleolar RNA from Grammomys surdaster, 132 nucleotides. RefSeq annotates it as small nucleolar RNA SNORA17. The transcript has a single exon. NCBI's taxonomy places the organism in Eukaryota, Metazoa, Chordata, Mammalia, Rodentia, Muridae. The record is from RefSeq and is a predicted model, not a curated record.
ACUGCCCCUAGAGUUGUUGCAGAUAUGGCUGCUGUGUCACUUGUAUUCAAGUUGGUGGGAGGGAAGAGAGAAGCUAUGUCUACACUUACUGUUCUGACCUAUGAGCAACUGAAUCAUUAGUAGCCCAAUAUU